AAAUUAGAGAUGAUGCCUUACAUGGUGAUGAGAGUGAGUCCUGGUAGCCAAGGAUGACUUGCCUGUAUAUUUAUAUAUAUAUGUGUGUGUGAUCAAUGGAUGGAUUGAUCAAGCUGCUUGCAGGCUCAUGCAUAUAUAUGUACAGGCAGUCUCCUUGGCUAGCCCGGCUACCUCUUAUCCUCCAUGCUAGGCAUCAGUCUCUUAAUCUGA
Molecule: unclassified non-coding RNA, 210 nt
Filed under: Oryza sativa (Asian cultivated rice)
Lineage: Eukaryota; Viridiplantae; Streptophyta; Magnoliopsida; Poales; Poaceae
Source: RNAcentral